This 451-nucleotide ribosomal RNA is filed under the name uncultured organism. RNAcentral's name for it is "partial 16S ribosomal RNA". It matches the Rfam family "Bacterial small subunit ribosomal RNA", at positions 332 to 799 of the family's 1533-position model. The record is from RNAcentral.
UACACUCCUGCGGGAGGCAGCAGUGGGGAAUAUUGGACAAUGGGCGCAAGCCUGAUCCAGCCAUGCCGCGUGAGUGAUGAAGGCCCUAGGGUUGUAAAGCUCUUUCACCGGUAAAGAUAAUGACGGUAACCGGAGAAGAAGCCCCGGCUAACUUCGUGCCAGCAGCCGCGGUAAUACGAAGGGGGCUAGCGUUGUUCGGAUUUACUGGGCGUAAAGCGCACGUAGGCGGACUAUUAAGUCAGGGGUUAAAUCCCGGGGCUCAACCCCGGAACUGCCUUUGAUACUGGUAGUCUUGAGUUCGAGAGAGGUGAGUGGAAUUCCGAGUGUAGAGGUGAAAUUCGUAGAUAUUCGGAGGAACACCAGUGGCGAAGGCGGCUCACUGGCUCGAUACUGACGCUGAGGUGCGAAAGCGUGGGGAGCAAACAGGAUUAGAAACCCGUGUAGUCCCAUG